AUGUUGAGAUAUUGUAGAUGUUGUAGACCAAGCAACGAGGAGCUAAUGUUGCCUCCUAGCUUCUGCGUCGGCGCGAUGAAGUUGGGUUCACAACCAGGGCCCGGGAGAUCGAGCUUGACGACAUGUCUGUUUAUGCUGCUGCAGUGGACGCCCUUCCAUUUACAGCAGUCAUCUCCCUUCCAUGAUGAGAGGAAGUUUGUAGGGUCUGUGAGGCCCGCUUUGAAGCCAACAAGCGCGGACCUCUCACCGGCAAUACAGCUGGCGACCGUAUCGUUUGGGUUGGAAGAUAGUGAUGAUGAUGAUGACUCUACAAAGCUCUUGCCUCGAGUGAACAACAGCAGGGCAACUAAUAUCACUAUGUGGAUAUUGGAGAGCAGAAGCUUGCCCAUUGGUGCUUUUGACAUGGAUGUGUGCUCUUCUUGA
RNAcentral lists this ribosomal RNA (423 nucleotides) under Triticum aestivum (bread wheat). Its description in RNAcentral is "partial small subunit ribosomal RNA". The record is from RNAcentral. Lineage: Eukaryota; Viridiplantae; Streptophyta; Magnoliopsida; Poales; Poaceae.